This 1362-nucleotide ribosomal RNA is filed under the name uncultured bacterium. RNAcentral describes it as "bacterial SSU rRNA". It matches the Rfam family "Bacterial small subunit ribosomal RNA", at positions 28 to 1380 of the family's 1533-position model. The record is from RNAcentral.
GAUGAACGCUAGCUACAGGCUUAACACAUGCAAGUCGAGGGGCAGCAUGGUCUUAGCUUGCUAAGGCCGAUGGCGACCGGCGCACGGGUGAGUAACGCGCAUCCAACCUGCCCUACACUCUUGGACAGCCUUCUGAAAGGGAGAUUAAUACAAGAUGUUAUCAUGAGUAAGCAUUUUCGCAUGAUUAAAGGUUUACCGGUGUAAGAUGGGGAUGCGUUCCAUUAGAUAGUAGGCGGGGUAACGGCCCACCUAGUCCUCGAUGGAUAGGGGUUCUGAGAGGAAGGUCCCCCACAUUGGAACUGAGACACGGUCCAAACUCCUACGGGAGGCAGCAGUGAGGAAUAUUGGUCAAUGGACGAGAGUCUGAACCAGCCAAGUAGCGUGAAGGAUGAAGGUUCUAUGGAUUGUAAACUUCUUUUAUACGGGAAUAAACGAAUCCACGUGUGGAUUUUUGCAUGUACCGUAUGAAUAAGGAUCGGCUAACUCCGUGCCAGCAGCCGCGGUAAUACGGAGGAUCCGAGCGUUAUCCGGAUUUAUUGGGUUUAAAGGGAGCGUAGAUGGGUUGUUAAGUCAGUUGUAAAAGUUUGCGGCCCAACCGUAAAAUUGCAAUUGAUACUGGCAGUCUUGAGUACAGUUGAGGUAGGCGGAAUUCGUGGUGUAGCGGUGAAAUGCUUAGAUAUCACGAAGAACUCCGAUUGCGAAGGCAGCUUACUAACCUGUAACUGACAUUGAUGCUCGAAAGUGUGGGUAUCAAACAGGAUUAGAUACCCUGGUAGUCCACACGGUAAACGAUGAAUACUCGCUGUAGGCGAUAUACAGUCUGCGGCCGAGCGAAAGCAUUAAGUAUUCCACCUGGGGAGUACGCCGGCAACGGUGAAACUCAAAGGAAUUGACGGGGGCCCGCACAAGCGGAGGAACAUGUGGUUUAAUUCGAUGAUACGCGAGGAACCUUACCCGGGCUUAAAUUGCAACCGAAUAUGGCGGAAACGCUAUAGCUAGCAAUAGCGGUUGUGAAGGUGCUGCAUGGUUGUCGUCAGCUCGUGCCGUGAGGUGUCGGCUUAAGUGCCAUAACGAGCGCAACCCUUGCCGAUAGUUACUAACAGGUUAUGCUGAGGACUCUGUUGGGACUGCCAUCGUAAGAUGUGAGGAAGGUGGGGAUGACGUCAAAUCAGCACGGCCCUUACGUCCGGGGCUACACACGUGUUACAAUGGGGGGGUACAGAGGGCUGCUACCACGCAAGUGGAUGCCGAUCCCAAAAACCUCUCUCAGUUCGGAUUGAAGUCUGCAACCCGACUUCAUGAAAGCUGGAUUCGCUAGUAAUCGCGCGUCAGCCACGGCGCGGUAAUGACGUUCCCCGGGCC